GGACCAAGGAGUCUAGCAUGUGCGCGAGUCAUUGGGACUCCUAUUAAACCUAAAGGCGCAAUGAAAGUAAAGGUCCGCCUCGCGCGGACCGAGGGAGGAUGGGCCCGUCUCCGGGCGGGCCCCGCACUCCCGGGGCGUCUCGUUCUCAUCGCGAGAAGAGGCGCACCCAGAGCGUACACGCUGGGACCCGAAAGAUGGUGAACUAUGCCUGGUCAGGACGAAGUCAGGGGAAACCCUGAUGGAGGUCCGUAGCGAUUCUGACGUGCAAAUCGAUCGUCGGAACUGGGUAUAGGGGCGAAAGACUAAUCGAACCUUCUAGUAGCUGGUUCCCUCCGAAGUUUCCCUCAGGAUAGCUGGCGCUCGCCUUCGCGAGUCUCAUUCGGUAAAGCGAAUGAUUAGAGGCAUUGGGGUCGAAACGGCCUCAACCUAUUCUCAAACUUUAAAUGGGUGAGAUCUCCGGCUUGCUUGAAACGUGAAGCCGCGAGAAUCGGAUCAGAGUGCCAAGUGGGCCACUUUUGGUAAGCAGAACUGGCGCUGUGGGAUGAACCAAACGCGGAGUUAAAGCGCCAAAAUCGACGCUUAUGGGAUACCAUGAAAGGCGUUGGUAACUUAAGACAGCAGGACGGUGGCCAUGGAAGUCGGA
Molecule: ribosomal RNA, 643 nt
Filed under: Apotolamprus sp. 2 MTM-2009
Lineage: Eukaryota; Metazoa; Arthropoda; Insecta; Coleoptera; Scarabaeidae
Description: eukaryotic LSU rRNA
Rfam family: Eukaryotic large subunit ribosomal RNA
Source: RNAcentral